GAAGAACGUUGGCGGCGUGCUUAACACAUGCAAGUCGAACGGAAAGGCCCUGCUUUUGUGGGGUGCUCGAGUGGCGAACGGGUGAGUAACACGUGAGUAUCCUGCCCUUGACUUUGGGUUAACUUCAGGAAACUGGGGCUAAUACCGGAUAGGAGCUCCUGCUGCAUGGUGGGGGUUGGAAAGUUUCGGCGGCUUGGGAUGGACUCGCGGCUUAUCAGCUUGGUGGUGGGGUAGUGGCUUACCCAGGCUUUGACGGGUAGCCGGCCUGAGAGGGUGACCGGCCACAUUAGGACUGAGAUACGGCCCAGACUCCUACGGGAGGCAGCAGUGGCGAAUAUUGCACAAUGGGCGGAACCCUGAUGCAGCAACGCCGCGUGCGGGAUGACGGCCUUCGUGUUGUGAACCGCAUUCGCCUGUGACGAAGCGGGAGUGACGGUAAUGGGUAAAGAAGCACCGGCUAACUACGUG
RNAcentral lists this ribosomal RNA (468 nucleotides) under uncultured bacterium. Its description in RNAcentral is "partial 16S ribosomal RNA". It matches the Rfam family "Bacterial small subunit ribosomal RNA", at positions 28 to 507 of the family's 1533-position model. The record is from RNAcentral.